This 253-nucleotide ribosomal RNA is filed under the name uncultured bacterium. Its description in RNAcentral is "partial 16S ribosomal RNA". It matches the Rfam family "Bacterial small subunit ribosomal RNA", at positions 524 to 776 of the family's 1533-position model. The record is from RNAcentral.
UACAGAGGGGGCAAGCGUUAUUCGGAAUUAUUGGGCGUAAAGGGCGCGUAGGCGGCUUUGCAAGUGACGGGUGAAAUCCCUCGGCUUAACCGAGGAACUGCCUGUCAGACUGCAUGGCUUGAGACCAGGAGAGGUGAGUGGAAUUCCCAGUGUAGCGGUGAAAUGCGUAGAUAUUGGGAGGAACACCAGUGGCGAAGGCGGCUCACUGGACUGGUACUGACGCUGAGGCGCGAAGGCCAGGGGAGCAAACGGG